AUCAUUAUUUUGAUGACAUUACAGUUGUUUAUUUUCUCUUGUGUGUACAGAUUGAAUAUUGUGCGAUAAACAGAAGUUGAAAUCAACUUGAUUAAUGUAAAUUUUCUUUACAGCUAAAUCAAGUAGAAUUUGUUGUCCUGAUUUCUGAAUUGGUUGUUCUAAUAUUUUCCUCUGAAUUUUAACUCGUGUUUAGAGGUUCACAUGUUCCCCCAUUUUGUUUUCUUCCAUUUCUUCUUUAUUGUAAGCUGAGCUGUAUAUAUUUUCAGUCAUCAUGUGUAAGUUAAAAGAUGAGUUUUAUUGAAGUCAAAAUUUCGUACCCAUGUUAAAUUAAGAUACCAAGUAAUAAUGACUGAGCCAGUGGAUAGGAUUCACUAGGAUUGUUCAUUCCCAAUUAUCAACGAAGGCUAAUUUUUUGGUUUGUCAGUUUAUACUGCAGAGAAGUGCUUGCCUUCCAGUCAAUCCAUUUUUUUAAUUCAACCAUUGGAAGUAUAAUACUGUAUAAUAUGUAGUGCUAUAAUAAUCUCUGUAGAUGUACUCCAGUGAUUCCUGCCUUCUAACUUUACUCCACUAACAGUGAACAUGAGUCUCAUUCCCAUAAGUAAUGCUACAGUAGACCAAUAAGUACUUAAAAUAUUGUAAAAGCUGUAGUAUAAUCAAAGGUGGAAGAACCUCCCUAAAUUGCAUGCACUGAUCCCUCCUCACAUUUCUCUUGUCAUUCUACUGCUACUGUGACUUCACUGGUUUUAUCUGUCUGUCUCUCUGACUUCUUCCUUUGCAGAUUUGGUAGCUAGAAAAGAGGGAUUCUAAGAGAGAAAUUUAAUACACAGGGAAUUAGUGUGUUGUUUCUUGAUAUGAAUGACCUGGAACAAAAAAUUGUGUCAUAGAUUCAAUGAGAUAACCAAUUCCUAUAAAAUUAUAGUUUAGAUGAUACUAUUUGAGCUAUUUCACCCGUACUGUUAGAGCUAGAUGCUCCCCCUACUCUUCACAAGGUCAUCAAAGCCAUGGAACAGCUAAAACCUACAAAGCAUCAGGGUCUGACGGUAUCGCAGCCGAGAUCUACCAGUAUGGUGGUAACACACUGACAUCAUGCCUACACCAGCUGUUCACAAAGCUGUGGGGAGCUGCAGAACUACCACAAGACUUCAAAGAUGCAUCAAUUGUGACCAAUCUACAAGAACAAGGGAGAUAAGAGAGACUGCAACAAUUACCGUGGCAUCUCUCUUCUGUCAGUUGUGGGAAAAUGCCUUGCGAAGGUCAUCCUUAGACGCUUGGCGUCCAACAUCAGUGACAGCAUCCUUCCAGAAAACUAAUGUGGUUUUUCAACAGGCCAUAGUACAAUGGACAUGAUCUUCUCACUGAGGCAGCUCCAGGAGAAAUGUGUUGAGCAACAGAGAAGCCUCUAUGUCACAUUUAUUGAUCUAGCCAAAGCGUUUGACACUGUUGGUAGAGAUGGCCUCUGGAAGCUCCUACCAAAAUUCGGUUGCCCUCCGCCACGCCUAACCAAUAUCAUCCGUCAGUUCCACGAAGGCACGGAAGGCCACGUCAACAUGUGUGGUGAGUUGUCAGACCCAUUUCCCAUCAGCAACGACAUAAAACAGGGUUGUGUUUUGGCUCCUACUCUGUUUGGACUAUUCUUCGCUGCUGUUCUGCAGGAUACCACAUCAGACCUGAAGUCAGGGAUCUUCCUACAAGUGAGGGUUGUUGGCAGGCUCUUCGCAAGGCUGAGAGCAAAAACAAAAGUCAGGGACGUUGUGGCACAUGAGCUACAGUUUGCUGAUGACUGGGCACUGUUGCCCACUCUCUUGAAGACUUAUAGGAGAUCACCAGUCGCUUUGCCAGUACAGCCAAAAGCUUCGGACUGACAAUCAGCCUGAAAAAGACUGAAGUUCUAUACCAACUGGCUCCUGGCUCAAGCUAUGAAGAACCAAUUGCCCUCAUUGAUGACACUUGUUUCAGUGCUGUCAACAAGCUUUGCUACCUGGGCAGCAUAUUAACAUCCUCUGCGUCUUUGGAUGUAGAGAUUGAGUCAAGAACCAGAAAAGCCUGCUUUGCCUUCGGUCAACUGAAAGACCGAGUUUGUAAACAGAACAUCAGGUUGGCCACCAAGUGCAAGGUAUACAGGAUCGUUGUCAUAUCAGCCUUGCUAUACGGAUGUGAGAUGUGGUGCCCAUAUCAGAGUCACUUACGCCAGCUUGAUCAACUGCAGCAGCGUCACCUACGUUCUCUGAUGAAGAUCACCUGGCGAGACAAGGUCUCCAAUACCGAGGUCCUCUCAUGAGCUGGAAUGCCAGCAGUUUCAACCUUGGUGAGGUGAGCCCAACUGCGCUGGGCAGGACAUCUUUUCAGAAUGCCUGACGGAACACUAUUGUGUUGCCUUUAAGGCAUUUGUUUAGUUUAUUAUAUUUUCGCUUUAGUAAUUCAUUUGUUAUCGUUUUCUAGUUAAAGUUAAGGUUGUUUAAAGUAAAUUCGUUGUCUGUGAUAUAUCGCGGCAUGCGAUGACGUCACACCCGGUUUCGCCGCGUCUUGUGGGAAAAUACCGGUUUGGAGAAACGGGAAGGAGGAGGCUUAUGUGAGCAGGAUCAGCGCGAGAAAAGUUUUCUUUCUACGCACUAGAAACAUUAGUGAAGCAACGCCUUUUCACCAUACGUUAAUGUGGAAGAGUGAACAGUAAACGGUUAAUCUUACUGGGAUCGCCUCAUUGACUGGUUUAUGCUUGGUGUUUAGUUCAGACUUCUUUUACACCUGUGCGAGAACAGUACAACUACCCAAGGACAUCUUCUACGGCCAGCUGUCCAGUGGUACCCGAAAACGAGGAGGCCAGCAACUACAGUACAAGGAUGUUCUGCACAGGAGCCUCAAGAAAGCUGACAUUGUCCCAUCAAAAUGAGAGGAUCUGGCUCAAGAUCGCUCACAGUGGAGGGACACCAUCAGAAAAGGUGUGGACGCUGCUGAGAACAAGCUCAUAGAGGCAACAGAGGAAAGGCACAGGAAGCACCACAAAAGAGCUUCUGCCCCUGCUGCCCCUCCAGGCCUCACCUGCCAAGUAUGUGGCAAGCAGUGCCUGUUAGGGAUCGGCCUGUACAGCCUCUGCAGGAUGCCAUAUCAAAGCCCACUGACUGACUGAAAGGAACCAUCAUCAUCCUAAGGAUAGCCAGAGAGAGAGAGAGAGAGAGAGAGAGAGAGUGAUUUGAGAAGCAACAUGGUACUGAAGUGAAAAGAAAUUGUUGAUUCUGCUGCUCUGUAAUUUUUUUAAUUAGGUUGAUAUAUUCUGUUUAAGACAGCCAGAUUCAGCUUCCUGCUAUAGACAGUACUCCUUUGUUGUAGUUUGGUUUUAAUAAUAGUCAUAGACUAAUGAGGCGACCUGGUUCACUUUUUGUAAUAUAUUUUCAGUUUGUAAUACAAUACCUCUGGGUUAUAAACUUCUGUACUGCUUGACCUAAUUCAAAAUUGGAAAAAGUGAGUCAUAUUAAUAUUUAACCUGUAAAAGAUAAGUUCUCUGGUCGAGAUGGAUUGAACAAUGCAUUUUUAAAUCCUGUGAAAGUAAUAGUAGAGUUAGUAUUGAACAUAUGUGGGUCAGAGUUUUAGGGACUGCUAACCCAACACAAAUCUCAAGGGAGAUUAAAUGCAUAGACAGACCAGAUAAAGUAUAAGAAAAAUAUGAAAGAGGGCCCAAAGAGAAAAAUUGUUGAACCCAACGUAAUACUUUAUGCUUAAAGGUUAAGACAUAGGUGGAAUUGGAUCAUGUGGAAUUUAAUGGUACAACUGAGUAUUGACCACAAUGGUUGGGCAAGGCCAAUUGUGUCUGGGGACUAUAUCUCCAAAUGAAGACAUUAAGCUAAGUAGUAUAGUGAAAGGAGCUUCUAUUCUAGAGCAUUCAUCCAAAGACAUAAAUUUGAACUCCAGUAUGGCAACUGUGAAAUUUAAAUUCCAGUAAUUAGACAUGAAAAACAAAACUGCAUUAAUAACCACCUAAUUGCUGUAAAAAAACACAUCUAGUUCAGUAAUGACCUUUACUAUUAAUACUUUUGACUCUUAAAAGCAUCCUCAGUUCAGGAUCAGUUAAGGAUGGAUAAUAAUUGCAGAAUUUUCUGUAUCCAUAUUCCAUAAAUGAAUAAAUAAAAAUAGUCUGACAUCAAAGAAAGCCUUCGGGAUAAUAUAUCAGGUUUCUCAGAAAACCUGUGGAUUCAAUUUAGAGUUCAGUCUGAUUGAUUUUAAUUUCUACCAACUAGAGAUAAAAGGGAACUCAAAAUAAAAUUAAUUUUAUUGUUUACUUCUCCAUCAACUGGAUCUAGACCUUUCAUAUCUAUCCUAGAUAGUUUUUGGAAGGGAGUCACCAUAUAAGUGAGAACAUAAAGGAAUUCAGAAAGAACAAAUAUGGUUGCAAAAGAGAUAAUAAACUGAUGUUGGGGAAGGGAUAGUAUAUAGUUGGCAGGAAGCAUUUGAUGGCAUUGUUCAGGAAUUUCAAAGUUGGGCUGUAAAUUUGGAUAUGGAAAAUGUGGAGGCAGCACAGUUUAGUAAUGCAAAAAUAAAUGCUGGUUUUGUCAAACUCCAUUGUGAAAAACACUUAACCAUAUAACAAUUACAGCACGGAAGCAGGCCAUCUCGGCCCGUCUAGUCCGUGCUGAACACUUACUCUCACCUAGUCCCACCAACCUGCACUCAGCCCAUAACCUUCCAUUCUUUUCCUGUCCAUAUACCUAUCCAAUUUUACUUUAAAUGACAAUAUCGAACCUGCCUCUACCACUUCUACUGGAAGCUUGUUCCACACAGCUACCACUCACUGAGUAAAGAAAUUCCCCCUCAUGUUACCUCUAAACUUUUGCCCCCUAACUCUCAACUCAUGUCCUCUUGUUUGAAUCUCCCCUACUCUCAAAGGAAAAAGCCUGUCAACGUCAACUCUAUCUAUCCCUCUCAUAAUUUUAAAUACCUCUAUCAAGUCACCCCCUUAACCUUCUACGGUCUAAAGAAUAAAGACCUAACUUUUUCAAGCUUUCUCUGUAACUUAGGUUCUGAAACCCAGGUAACAUUCUAGUAAAUCUCCUCUGUACUCUCUCUAUUUUGUUGACAUCUUUCCUAUAAUUUGAUGACAAGAACUGUACAUAAUAUUCCAAAUUUGGUCCUACCAAUACCUUGUACAAUUUUAACAUUACAUCCCAACUCCUAUACUCAAUGCUCUGAUUUAUAAAGGCCAGCAUACCAAAACCUUUCUUCACCACCCUAUCCACUUGAGAUUCCACCUUCAGGGAACUAUGCACCAUUAUUCCUAGAUCACUCAGUUCUAUUGCAUUCUUCAAUGCCCUACCAUUUACCAUGUAUGUCCACUUUUAUAUUCCUUAAAAGCGCCAGCACUUCCUCCUCUUUAAUCAUCAUAGUUUCCAUAACUUCUCUACUUGUUUCCCUUACCUUACACAAUUCAAUAUCCUUCUCCUUAGUGAAUACUGAAGAAAAGAAAUUGUUUAAUAUCUCCCCCAUCUCUUUUGGCUCCACACAUAUCUGUCCACUCUGAUUCUCUAAGGGACCAAUUUUAUCCCUCACUAUCCUUUUGCUAUUAAUAUAACUGUAGAAACACUUUGGAUUUAUUUUCACCUUACUUGCCAAAGCAACCUCAUAUCUUUUAGCUUUUCUAAUUUCUUUCUUAAGAUUCUUUAUAUUCCCCGAGAACCUCAUUUAUUCCAUGCUGCCUAUAUUUAUUGUCGGUCUCUUUUUCCAAACCAAGUUUCCAAUAUCCCUUGAAAACCAUGGCUCUCAAACUUUAAACCUUUCCUUUCAACCUAACAGGAACAUAAAGAUUCUGUACCCUCAAAAUUUCCCCUAUAAGUGACCUCCAUUUCUCUAUUACAUCCUUCCUAUUAAAACAAACUGUCCCAAUCCACUCCUUCUAAAUCCUUUCGCAUCUCCUCAAAGUUAGCCGUUCGCCAAUCAAAAAUCUCAACCCUGGGUCCAGUCCUAUCCUUCUCCAUAAUUAUAUUGAAACUAAUGGCAUUGUGAUCACUGGACCCAAAGUGCUCCCCAUCACAUACCUCCGUCACCUGACCUAUCUCAUUCCCUAACAGGAGAUCCAACACUGCCCCUUCUCUAGUUGGUACCUCUAUGUAUUGCUGCAAAAAACUAUCCUGCACACAUUUUACAAACUCCAAAUCAUCCAUCCCUUUUACAGUAUGGGCUUCCCAGUCUAUCUGUGGAAAAUUAAAA
Hypanus sabinus (Atlantic stingray) is the source of this 6192-nucleotide long non-coding RNA. RefSeq lists it as uncharacterized. Lineage: Eukaryota; Metazoa; Chordata; Chondrichthyes; Myliobatiformes; Dasyatidae. The transcript has 2 exons. The record is from RefSeq and is a predicted model, not a curated record.